GAAUAUCGACAGAGUUGUAUUUGUUGGGAACUUUCUCAGAAUCAAUAUGGUCUCGAUGAAGUUGCUGGCAUACGCCAUGGACUUUUGGUCUAAAGGACAGCUGAAAGCACUGUUUUUGGAACAUGAGGGUUACUUCGGAGCUGUUGGGGCCCUUUUGGAACUGUUCAAAAUGACUGACACGCAGUAGAGAAACAGCCCCUUGUGAAGACCGAGGACUGAUGGCCAAUGCCAGAGAAGGUGACGUCUCUGUGGGGCAGAAACCAAGCCACUAUGGUGGAUGAACCUGCUGUAUUUGUAAAUAACCUAAAAUCCUAGACCUUUUGCUCUUCGUUUCAAGCUUAUGAUACAAAAUGGGGAAUCUAAGAAUUUUUUUCUGUAUACUGUAUUUUUUAAAAAAGAAAAAAGAAAUUGUGCAGCGUGGCCAAACCUACCAAUUUCAUGCAUUAACUUUGAAAAGUUGUAUGAUGUUCAAGAGGGGCCUGAAAUGAGAGCGCUGUCCAUUUUUCUUCUGGGGUUUACUGAUCAGUGUGGUAAUUUAAACUUCAUUUAGUAAUUACUCUAGGAGAUUUUUGCCUUUACUUAAUAUUUUUUCAUGACGUUUCAUGAUUUGCUGUUGGUUUCAAAUGAAACUACGAAUCUGGCAUGUUGCACUGUGAACACUUUUUGUUUGUUCUCUCUCUCUUUAAUCCUUUCUGUUUCGAUGUCUUAGGACAGAAAAGGAAAAGAAGUUUCCCCUCCCCCACCCCUGUUUUUUUUGUUCCUCGUGAUUUCUCUCCUCUCUGUCCAUAUGCUUUCCUUGUUGUAACCGCUCAAUCAAGGUGCUGACCAAUUCAACACAAAGUUAAACACGUAAUUUACGGCUCUGAAAGUGUGGCCAUGUGAGAAGACUUUAAAGGAAGGGGUUGAUGAGAGUGGCAUACAUUGGACGUUAUAUGCAGUGCAAUUUUAUCUUUGCCUUCUUACCCCUCAUCACUAGAGUGUCCCACUGGCUUUACUUCACACUACACUGAAAUAGUCUGUGACGGCAUGUCCUCAUUUGUGUACGCCACGGGGAGGGCAGCAAACCCCUGUGUAAAUUUGGAGGGGCUCCCAAAGCUGAUCCGAUCACACCGGGCCUAGGGCAAAAGUCCUGGGUUGAGAUGUUAGAAAUCAUGGUCUGUCUUAUAUAUGUUCGUACCUAGGAAGGGUGUAACGAGACAUCCCAAGUAAUAACGUUAAAGCCUGUUUUUUUUUUUUUUAUUUCUAUUUUAGUAUUUAAACUGAGAUUGGUACUUUAUUCCAUUUCUAAAACGUAGAUAUAAUUUAUGAUACACUCACAUCUAUGGACAUUCUGGGAUGUUUUCGUUAAGAUAGACGCGUCACUUUCAAAUGAGGGUGUUGUACACAAACUGUAACAGGAGAGCUAAUGGUCUUUUGGAUUGAGGGUACCCUUCCAAGGGCUUUUUGAAAGGCAAUAGAGUUACUCCUUGGUCAGUCUUCGCCUCUCUACCUUGUGGAGCACCGCCCUUCUUUUCCAUACCCUUGAGCCUUGAAGAAGCUGAUGCUAAUGGAAGAACUCACUUGUCUGGUUGAAAUAAAGCCCGUUUGUGUUGGGA
Molecule: long non-coding RNA, 1595 nt
Filed under: Rattus norvegicus (Norway rat)
Lineage: Eukaryota; Metazoa; Chordata; Mammalia; Rodentia; Muridae
Description: long non-coding RNA NONRATT003723
Source: RNAcentral